This 1809-nucleotide ribosomal RNA is filed under the name Triticum aestivum (bread wheat). Its description in RNAcentral is "partial small subunit ribosomal RNA". The record is from RNAcentral. Lineage: Eukaryota; Viridiplantae; Streptophyta; Magnoliopsida; Poales; Poaceae.
AUGGAAAGCUCUCGAAGCUCAUCUUCUCUGAUACUUCUUCAAGCUAGGAGUGUAUUUGUAUUUGAAAAAGAAGGGUCUUUGGAAGAAUUACCAACAAUCCUCUGCGCUUCUCAUUUCUGGAAUAUUCAACUGUGCGAACUUCAUUCAGUCACCGAUUAUGCUUUAUUGAAAAGGUCAUGCUUCUGGAAGACUGCAGCCUUUAUUGACCGACCCCUUCAUGUCACCUCCGGAAUCGUGUUGCUGCUCUUUGCAAAUUAUCUUCCAUUCGUCAUUGCUCCCAGGGAGGUCUCAUCUCAGCUCAGCAUGGAGGUUCUGAUUUCAGCAGUUGCGGGCGAUCUUGUCGGCAGGUUCAUCUCUUUCCUGGCUCAAAAUUAUGGCACCCACACAUGUGAGGAGGAGGAUCGUAGAAGGUUGGAACGCAUCUUGCUGAGGAUGCACACCGUUGUUGAAGAAGCAGAGGGGCGGCGCAUCACAAAUCGAGGGAUGCUCCGGCAGCUGAAGGCGCUCAUCGAGGGUAUGUACCUUGGGUACUACAUGCUGGACAGGCUCAGGGUCCAGUCCCUUGGAGAAGAGAGCGUCGAGGAUGACGAGGUGAGUUAUCGGAGCCAAUCUUUUGCCGUUUCUACUUUUAAUACCGCCAAGCGCCUUCGUUUGGCUGUUGCUGCUUCUAUAACGAAGAACACACCAGUAGCAUUUGGGGCCGGGAGCACAACAAAGUUGAAAAGUGUUCUUGAAAGUUUGGAGGCUCAUACCGCAGAUAUGAGAGAGUUUGUGAUGCUCCUUGGCAGCUGCCCUCGCCUGUCUCGCCAGCCAUACGAUACAUAUCUACACAUGGAUAAGUGCAUGUUUGGUCGCCACAUCGAGAAAGAGCAACUCCUCAACUUCUUACUAUGCAGUGAUGAUAGUCAUGACGGAACAAAUUUCUGCAUCCUUCCGAUCAUCGGCCCGUGCAGAGUCGGAAAGAAAACUCUGGUGCAACAUGCUUGCAGGGAUGAGAGGGUGCGGGGUCGUUUCUCCCACAUGUUUUUCUAUAAAGGCGAUGACCCGCAUAUUGGAGAAUUUGCGGCGAACUGCAAGGCAGGCUCGGGGAAGUACUUAUUUGUUGUUGAUUUCAGCUGGGAUGUGGAUGCGGUGGCAUGGGAGAACUUCCGAUCAUGCCUGCAGAAGAUGCCAGGUGCUUGGAGUAAAAUUGUAGUGAUAGGCACAACAGAUCAAGUUGCUAAAAUGGGAACUGCCCAACCCAUCAGGAUGAAGAGUUUGCCCCAAGAAGAAUACUGGUACUUCUUCAAGGCACUUGCCUUUGGAAGCAUGGAUCCUGAUGAGAACCCAAGACUGGCAUCUCUGGGAAUGCAGUUGGCUACUCACCUAAAUGGAUCUUUUCUUGGUGCAAAUAUAAUUGGUGGGGUAUUAAGAGCUAAUCCUGAUACUAAAUUUUGGUGCAACAUGUUACUGAGGAUAAGAGAACUAGUUCGGACGCACGGCUCCUUCGGCAUACACCCCGAGGACCUUUUCGAGAGAAAUAUCCCUGUCAACUUCACCAAGUCGUCCUAUGUGGGGGCUAAGAUUCAAGGAUGUUGGGCUUACGAUUUGAGGGAGACUGGCCCGGAGCAAAGUGAGCUGCCGAAACUGACAUGGCAACAACUGCUAACCGGUGCUGAAAUUCCUGAUGAUGAAGACAGGUUUGAUGUGUUGGCAUGGAGAUCUCGGAUCCCACCUUACCGCGACUACAUCGUUACUUUUGAGAAACAGAAACCACGUCGUAAGGUCAGCAGGAGGAAUCAUCUGGCGCCAAGAAAAACAUCGGCAUAA